GACGAACGCUGGCGGCGUGCCUAAUACAUGCAAGUUGAGCGCUGAAGGUUGGUACUUGUACCAACUGGAUGAGCAGCGAACGGGUGAGUAACGCGUGGGGAAUCUGCCUUUGAGCGGGGGACAACAUUUGGAAACGAAUGCUAAUACCGCAUAAAAACUUUAAACACAAGUUUUAAGUUUGAAAGAUGCAAUUGCAUCACUCAAAGAUGAUCCCGCGUUGUAUUAGCUAGUUGGUGAGGUAAAGGCUCACCAAGGCGAUGAUACAUAGCCGACCUGAGAGGGUGCUCGGCCACAUUGGGACUGAGACACGGCCCAAACUCCUGCGGGAGGCAGCAGUAGGGAAUCUUCGGCAAUGGACGAAAGUCUGACCGAGCAACGCCGCGUGAGUGAAGAAGGUUUUCGGAUCGUAAAACUCUGUUGGUAGAGAAGAACGUUGGUGAGAGUGGAAAGCUCAUCAAGUGACGGUAACUACCCAGAAAGGGACGGCUAACUACGUG
This 497-nucleotide ribosomal RNA is filed under the name uncultured bacterium. Its description in RNAcentral is "partial 16S ribosomal RNA". It matches the Rfam family "Bacterial small subunit ribosomal RNA", at positions 28 to 507 of the family's 1533-position model. The record is from RNAcentral.